Molecule: long non-coding RNA, 566 nt
Organism: Oryzias latipes (Japanese medaka)
Lineage: Eukaryota; Metazoa; Chordata; Actinopteri; Beloniformes; Adrianichthyidae
Source: RefSeq, a predicted model, not a curated record
AUCCUCAUGUGAGCAACCGUGAUCUGAUUCUGUGCCGCUCCCAGCGUGAGCCCGAACAGCAGGACGCGGGGAGAGAAGUCGAUUACCUUCCUGAAAAGAGGUCGUUUCAGUAUGAAGACGAGGACAUGGAAGAGCUGGAAGAGGUCUGGACCAUCUCAUUUGUCAGAGUGAUUUAUUCCCUCUGCAACAACGCCGUUUGAUUCAUUCAGUCUGAACUACCUUGGAUCAGUGAAAUCUGCUGAUGCCUGCGGCGUGCACGCUCACAACACCCCAUGUGAAGAACAAGAGACUUUGUUUAACCAGAUCUCUGAAGGGGAUUUGAAUUUGCUCUGGUGCAGGAUUAAACAUUUGAAAUGAUUUUUUUUAGGUCCAAAUGCUGCUUCCUUUAUGUAACGUUGUACUACAAAAUCCAAUCCAUUAUAGUUAAUGUACUCUUUGCACAUUACAAAGUAGAAAAACAUAUUUUGAGGUUAUGCAAAAGUUUCCUGAAUACAUUUUUAAAAAAAGUAAAAAGAAUUUAAAAGAAAAAUCUGGAUUUGCAUUGAAAUAAAUGGCUGUCAGAAUCA